CUGAAAUAGCUGAGGAUCUGCCGUCUGGCAAAAUGCCAAUGUUUUGUGUAGUUUACAGCUGCUCCAAUCGUUCUAAUCGAGAAAAGGGAAAGGGUUUUUAUAGAGUACCGAAGAUUGUCACUCAUAAAGGUGAGAAAUGUAAAAAGCUCACAGAACAACGCCGUAAAAAGUGGAUUUUUAACGUACGUCUGCGGUCGGGAGGAGCAGAGUCUGUUAAUGCCCGUGACUGCAGCGACCACUUCGUCUGAGGUUGCCCUAGCGCUUUGGGUGACGUUGAGUCGGUAGAUUGGGCUCCGACGGUCAACCUAGGUUACCAAAAACCUAAGCCCAAAUCAGAGGCGUCUCUUAAACGAGAGCAAAGGAUGAAGAUCAAGGAAGACCAACAAAGACGGUCGGAAUGUGCAGAUGCUAUGUUGGAUCUCCAACAGACAGAUGAGAGCCCGGAUCUGACGCAGACAGCCGAAAGCUCAGAACCGAAGCAGCCAGCUGACAACAACCCACAAUCAGAGGGGAUCAGUGGGAAUGGGACAUUAAAUGAUAAAGGCUAUGUAGAUGCCGGAUGCCAGACUGAGCUAACAAUGGAUGACAUUGAGAAGAUGGAGGAUGUUCUGAGACAAAACACCCCAUGUCAUUUACAUAUCUUGUGCCUGGGGAGGGAGAGUCAGCGAUAAACAGAUCACAAUAGAGAGUGGCCGCCUAAAAUACCUGUUACCUGGAGAUAUUGUCCUAGCAGACCGUGGGUUCAAUAUUGGUGAUAGUGUGGGAUUUUACUGUGCUUCACUACAGAUACCUGCAUUUACCAAGGGGAGAAAACAGCUGUCAGCGUAUGAGGUGGCAGACACAAGAAAAAUAGCGAAUUUGCGUAUUCAUGUUGAGAGAGUUAUCGGUUUAGUCAGAAGAAAAUAUCAGAUUCUGCAAAGCAGGGCUAUGCCCAUAGAGCACAUGGCAACAAAACAAGGUGAGGCACUAGCAUUGAUUGACAAGAUUGGGGUUAUUUGCUGCGUCUUGUCUAAUAUUUCGGAGUCUAUUGUCCCAUUGGAGUAAGGAGGAGGGAGAGAUAGGGAUAAUAAUCAGUCAGUCCAAUACCUGAGCCCUCACACAUGUAGUGUCCAAUACCUGAUCCCUGCUUCUUGGCUCUGAUGAUGAUGAUAAGUAAGAGGACAUGGAGUAGUAGUACCUGAGCCCCGACACAUAUCAGUCUGUUAACCCUUGUGUGCUGUUCGGGCUGUUUUCAGCCACUAGGGUGUUUUUUUGAGUCGUUUUUUGGCCAUAACUUUCUCUGUGUUUCAGCUAAUGGAAUGAUUUUUGGUGACAAAUCUUAUUUUCACACAUAUUUUAGGAAAAUGCUUUGAAAAUUUUCAAAAACUCAACAGUAGACUGUGGGCAAAUUCACUACCCUUUGGUUAUGUUCAUGGCUGAAAACAGCCACUACUUUAAACUGCUGUAAAAAUUUAUCAGAUAAAUAUUUUUUAAUUUUUUUUUUGCAAAAAUCUAUUAAUCAA
Molecule: long non-coding RNA, 1502 nt
Organism: Xyrauchen texanus (razorback sucker)
Lineage: Eukaryota; Metazoa; Chordata; Actinopteri; Cypriniformes; Catostomidae
Exons: 3
Source: RefSeq, a predicted model, not a curated record